AUUUAAAUGACCAUGAUCAGUCCCUUCAGAAUCAGUCCUUUUGACAGUCUCACUGAAGCCUGAAAGAACUAUUGAUCCCUCUGCAAUGAAGUCCACAAUCUUGCUAUCCUUCUUUUUGGUCUUCUGCUCGGUCAUUGUGAGCACGACCGCCAGUAAGCCUUGUCAUCGCUUUGGCGAGGCUUGUCCCAGGCCCCACAACAGAUUAAUUGCAUAUCGCAAGCAACCCAAUAACUAUAUGUUCACCAUGAUGUUUUGCGAAAUAUUUUGCCGCAAAAAUAAGGCUCAGUACAUGAUCUUUGGGUCGAACACUUGUGGGUGCUUUGAAAGUUGCAAGAACCCAACAAGGGUACGUUCUCGACGUGUGAUCGUCAUGUUCCCUCUGCAAGCCGACCCGGACAAGGUUUGUCAUUAAGAUUCAAUACACCCAACCAUCCAACUAACCAACCAACCAAUUAUCCAAGGACGUGGAACUCUCUGGACUUUGGGACUUACACUAUUACAGUACUUGAAUAAAUGAACUUGUCAUGGCACGUCUGAUAUUGUUGCGUUCAAUUUGAGAAUAAACACCUUCAGCCCAACAAUGGGUACAAAAAUGUACCGGGCCCUUGUUAUUGAA
Long non-coding RNA from Tigriopus californicus, 616 nucleotides. RefSeq lists it as uncharacterized. Lineage: Eukaryota; Metazoa; Arthropoda; Copepoda; Harpacticoida; Harpacticidae. The transcript has 2 exons. The record is from RefSeq and is a predicted model, not a curated record.